Molecule: ribosomal RNA, 418 nt
Filed under: Escherichia coli
Lineage: Bacteria; Pseudomonadati; Pseudomonadota; Gammaproteobacteria; Enterobacterales; Enterobacteriaceae
Description: bacterial SSU rRNA
Rfam family: Bacterial small subunit ribosomal RNA
Source: RNAcentral
AAAUUGAAGAGUUUGAUCAUGGCUCAGAUUGAACGCUGGCGGCAGGCCUAACACAUGCAAGUCGAACGGUAACAGGAAGCAGCUUGCUGCUUCGCUGACGAGUGGCGGACGGGUGAGUAAUGUCUGGGAAGCUGCCUGAUGGAGGGGGAUAACUACUGGAAACGGUAGCUAAUACCGCAUAAUGUCGCAAGACCAAAGAGGGGGACCUUCGGGCCUCUUGCCAUCGGAUGUGCCCAGAUGGGAUUAGCUUGUUGGUGGGGUAACGGCUCACCAAGGCGACGAUCCCUAGCUGGUCUGAGAGGAUGACCAGCCACACUGGAACUGAGACACGGUCCAGACUCCUACGGGAGGCAGCAGUGGGGAAUAUUGCACAAUGGGCGCAAGCCUGAUGCAGCCAUGCCGCGUGUAUGAAGAAGGC